CACCCCACCUGCGGCACCGGGUGACAAGGGACAGGUGACACCGGCACAGGUGACACCGGAACAGGUGACAAGGGACAG
Molecule: non-coding RNA, 78 nt
Organism: Cyanistes caeruleus (blue tit)
Lineage: Eukaryota; Metazoa; Chordata; Aves; Passeriformes; Paridae
Source: RefSeq, a predicted model, not a curated record